GAUGAAGAACGUAGCGAAAUGCGAUAAGUAAUGUGAAUUGCAGAAUUCAGUGAAUCAUCGAAUCUUUGAACGCACAUUGCGCCCCUUGGUAUUCCGAGGGGCAUGCCUGUUCGAGCGUCAUUAUAACCCCUCAAGCUCAGCUUGGUGUUGGGGCCUGCUGCACUGGCAGCCCUUAAAAUCAGUGGCGGCGCCGUCUGGCUCUAAGCGUAGUAAUUCUUCUCGCUAUGGAGUCCUGGUGGAUGCUUGCCAUCAACCCCCAAUUUUUCUAUGGUUGACCUCGGAUCAGGUAUGGAUACCCGCUGAACUUAAGCAUAUCAAUAAGCGGAGGA
This 329-nucleotide unclassified non-coding RNA is filed under the name soil metagenome. RNAcentral's name for it is "partial contains 5.8S ribosomal RNA, internal transcribed spacer 2, and large subunit ribosomal RNA". The stretch from base 1 to 120 matches the Rfam family "5.8S ribosomal RNA", at positions 35 to 154 of the family's 154-position model. The record is from RNAcentral.